UACGUAGGGUGCAAGCGUUGUCCGGAAUUAUUGGGCGUAAAGAGCUCGUAGGCGGCUUGUUGCGUCUGCUGUGAAAUCCCGGGGCUUAACCCCGGGCGUGCAGUGGAUACGGGCAGGCUGGAGGCAGGCAGGGGAGAAUGGAAUUCCCGGUGUAGCGGUGAAAUGCGCAGAUAUCGGGAGGAACACCGGUGGCGAAGGCGGUUCUCUGGGCCUGUUCUGACGCUGAGGAGCGAAAGCGUGGGGAGCGAACAGG
Molecule: ribosomal RNA, 253 nt
Filed under: uncultured bacterium
Lineage: Bacteria
Description: partial 16S ribosomal RNA
Rfam family: Bacterial small subunit ribosomal RNA
Source: RNAcentral